Non-coding RNA from Potamilus streckersoni, 73 nucleotides. The record is from the annotation of a GenBank genome assembly. NCBI's taxonomy places the organism in Eukaryota, Metazoa, Mollusca, Bivalvia, Unionida, Unionidae.
GCUCCGGUGACCUAGUGGUUAGAGCGUCUGCCUCAUAUGCAAAAAGUCGUUGGUUCGAUCCCUUGCCGAGUCA